CAGUCGAGCGAGUCUGCCUUGAAGAUCGGAGUGCUUGCACUCUGUGAAACAAGAUACAGGCUAGCGGCGGACGGGUGAGUAACACGUGGGUAACCUGCCCAAGAGAUCGGGAUAACACCUGGAAACAGAUGCUAAUACCGGAUAACAACAGAUGAUGCCUAUCAACUGUUUAAAAGAUGGUUCUGCUAUCACUCUUGGAUGGACCUGCGGUGCAUUAGCUAGUUGGUAGGGUAACGGCCUACCAAGGCGAUGAUGCAUAGCCGAGUUGAGAGACUGAUCGGCCACAUUGGGACUGAGACACGGCCCAAACUCCUACGGGAGGCAGCAGUAGGGAAUCUUCCACAAUGGACGCAAGUCUGAUGGAGCAACGCCGCGUGAGUGAAGAAGGGUUUCGGCUCGUAAAGCUCUGUUGUUGGUGAAGAAGGACAGGGGUAGUAACUGACCUUUGUUUGACGGUAAUCAAUUAGAAAGUCACGGCUAACUACGUGCCAGCAGCCGCGGUAAUACGUAGGUGGCAAGCGUUGUCCGGAUUUAUUGGGCGUAAAGCGAGUGCAGGCGGCUCGAUAAGUCUGAUGUGAAAGCCUUCGGCUCAACCGGAGAAUUGCAUCAGAAACUGUCGAGCUUGAGUACAGAAGAGGAGAGUGGAACUCCAUGUGUAGCGGUGAAAUGCGUAGAUAUAUGGAAGAACACCGGUGGCGAAGGCGGCUCUCUGGUCUGUUACUGACGCUGAGGCUCGAAAGCAUGGGUAGCGAACAGGAUUAGAUACCCUGGUAGUCCAUGCCGUAAACGAUGAGUGCUAAGUGUUGGGAGGUUUCCGCCUCUCAGUGCUGCAGCUAACGCAUUAAGCACUCCGCCUGGGGAGUACGACCCGCAGGUUGAAACUCAAAGGAACUGACGGGGGCC
Molecule: ribosomal RNA, 903 nt
Filed under: uncultured bacterium
Lineage: Bacteria
Description: bacterial SSU rRNA
Rfam family: Bacterial small subunit ribosomal RNA
Source: RNAcentral